UGUGCUUGCUGGCGUCCAGCUCUUCUCAGUUCAAUUGUGACCGCUAUUUCGACAAGUUGCAAGUGUGUGUAAAGUUCGCUUCCGUUUGGAAUAGUUUAUUUAUUGUGUUUGCGUUGAAACGCCAAAUUGAAAUUGCAGUAACAAAGUUCUUAAAAGUUAUAUAUAUAUAUAUCGCAAGAUAUCGAGAGAGAAAACAAAACAAAACAAAAAGUUAUAGUAGUGCGUUGGAAAGGAAUGUAAAUCGAAUUGUCACAUUUCGCAAAGUAACAAAAGGCUUAUGCUCAAACUCACUGGCAGUAAAACAAGUAUUAUGAAAAACUGA
Long non-coding RNA from Rhagoletis pomonella (apple maggot), 322 nucleotides. RefSeq lists it as uncharacterized. The transcript is spliced from 2 exons. The record is from RefSeq and is a predicted model, not a curated record. Lineage: Eukaryota; Metazoa; Arthropoda; Insecta; Diptera; Tephritidae.